RNAcentral lists this long non-coding RNA (1186 nucleotides) under Sus scrofa (pig). RNAcentral describes it as "lncRNA (ENSSSCG00030065490.1)". Lineage: Eukaryota; Metazoa; Chordata; Mammalia; Artiodactyla; Suidae. The record is from RNAcentral.
CCACCUUUACUUGUAACACUUCCCUUUGUUCAUUUCCUCACAUCUUCCAGGGCAUCAGAGCCUUUCUUGCCCUGCUGCCUUUGUACAAGUGGUCCUCUGUCUGAUGUCCUCAUCCCCAGGUCCUCAGAGCCCAGAGCUCAGCAGGGGCUGGACUCAGUGGAGUUGGCUAUUGUUCUCUGACCUUAUAAAAGAUGUCCUCCCUUAUAAAAGAUGUCCUCAUGUUUGAAAUUAGUCACUUAAAAUGAGUAAAUUUAAAAUAGGGCAGUGGUUUCAUAGGGACUAGUAAAAAAUGACAAAUAUUUACUUGGAAAUGAUUUUGAAAAUGAACAAAAAAUGAUCAUGUUUGUUUUGUCUUAUGUUUAACAAAAUUUAGGUUGCGUUGCAAUUACAUGCGAGUGGUUUACAGUGAACCCAGACCGAACCAGAUGUUGUUCCUUUGAUACAAUUUUCCUAAUAAUGCAUGCUAGCACAAAAUGUAUUCUUUGCCUUUGACUUUUGCAGCAUGAUCAAAAGGAGGUUAAUUUGUGUGAAUAUGAUAGAAAUCAUUAGUUUUUCUCAAGCUUCAUUUAUAUUGGAAAUGCUCCCCUUCAAAGCACCUAUCGUGUCAUUAAUGCCUCUCAAUUUUCUUGUGUUCCAUGGCUAACUGGUCUACUUGCCACAUUAUCAUUUAUUACUGACAUUGCUUGUGAUUCAUGCAGUUCUUUAGAAUCACUUUCAUUGACUUCGUAACAUCCACAUCCCAUGUCUUUUGUAAAUUGCAGUAUUGCUCUGCUGGCCAUUUAUGUUGUAUAUUUCUUAUUUUAUUAGAUGUGGUACAUCUGAUCAUGAAAGAGAGGCCUUCUGCCCAUCACAUUCUCUUCUUUGUAGGUCAUAAUAUUUAAUGUCAAACAGUGUGUGUGUGUGUGUGUGUAUGUGUGUGUGUGUGUGUAUGUGCACACGCUGCUCUUUGAAUGAGGGUUACUUUUAUAGAUGGGGAAACAUUGGUGAAUGUUUCAUUCAGUCUUUGCCUCCCAACCUGACAUCAUAAUUGUGGGUUCUGAUAUUGACUGCUCAGGUAUUGAAGACAUGUUUCAGGUGUCAAAGUCUAUUUCUCAGAGCUUAUACCUUUCCCAUGUUUACUGCCCAACAUUUCUUUUUUUUUAUAAUUUCAAAAUUAUAUUUAAAAAAUUUUAAUUAUGUUUUUAAU